CACUCCUACGGGAGGCAGCAGUGGGGAAUAUUGGACAAUGGGCGCAAGCCUGAUCCAGCCAUGCCGCGUGAGUGAUGAAGGCCCUAGGGUUGUAAAGCUCUUUCACCGGUGAAGAUAAUGACGGUAACCGGAGAAGAAGCCCCGGCUAACUUCGUGCCAGCAGCCGCGGUAAUACGAAGGGGGCUAGCGUUGUUCGGAUUUACUGGGCGUAAAGCGCACGUAGGCGGACUAUUAAGUCAGGGGUGAAAUCCCGGGGCUCAACCCCGGAACUGCCUUUGAUACUGGUAGUCUUGAGUUCGAGAGAGGUGAGUGGAAUUCCGAGUGUAGAGGUGAAAUUCGUAGAUAUUCGGAGGAACACCAGUGGCGAAGGCGGCUCACUGGCUCGAUACUGACGCUGAGGUGCGAAAGCGUGGGGAGCAAACAGGAUUAGAAACCCCGGUAGUCCCAUGA
Molecule: ribosomal RNA, 450 nt
Filed under: uncultured organism
Description: partial 16S ribosomal RNA
Rfam family: Bacterial small subunit ribosomal RNA
Source: RNAcentral